This is a non-coding RNA of Phoenix dactylifera (date palm), 713 nucleotides long. NCBI's taxonomy places the organism in Eukaryota, Viridiplantae, Streptophyta, Magnoliopsida, Arecales, Arecaceae. The record is from RefSeq and is a predicted model, not a curated record.
AGGACUGUUCCUUUAUACAGAACAGAGAACAAGCCGGAGAGGUUGGAGUAUGUUGUACAAAGUUUUUCUCCCUUCACAUUAUUUCUCAUUUUAGUCAGGAAGAUAUGGAGAUGGCUAUGAUCUCUUCCUUGGCUACUUAUCCUGUGAAAUAUUUUCAUGCAUGGCAAGCAAAAGCAAGGAAGACCACAGUUUCAGCAUCAAAAUCUAGGAGUGUGCCCAUCAAAGCAGUUUUCAAUAGUUGUCGAACGUGCCGAGGAAAAGGUGCAGUUGAGUGCCCUGGGUGCAAGGGGACAGGAAAGAACAAGAAGAACGGCAAUAUUUUUGAAAGAUGGAAGUGUUUUGAGUGCCAAGGAUUUGGCAUGAAGAGCUGCCCCAAUUGUGGCAAGGGAGGACUUACGCCGGAGCAAAGAGGGGAAAGAUAGAGCCCACAAGUUCCAGAUAAUUUGUUGGGUUUGCAUGCGCAAGUUUGUAUAUAUAGUUUCUUCCCGUAUGAAGCUCAAUCUUUCUAGGAGCUCCUUUUUUUUUUCCUCAAAUCUUCCAUAUAAAUUUCUUUUAUCAUUAUAUUGUAUAGAGAUUCACCUUACUAGGCAAAAAGUGGCACCUUUCUUCUGCCUCCUACCAGGUUUUCCUUUGCUUGACAACUAGUGCAGAGGGGCUGAGAGGUUAAUCCAUGCAAAUAACAGAUAUGGUUAUUUUAAUAAGGUUUGAUCGUA